GAUGCCCUGGCAGUCAGAGGCGAUGAAGGACGUGCUAAUCUGCGAUAAGCGCCGGUAAGGUGAUAUGAACCGUUAUAACCGGCGAUUUCCGAAUGGGGAAACCCAGUGUGAUUCGUCACACUAUCAUUAACUGAAUCCAUAGGUUAAUGAGGCGAACCGGGGGAACUGAAACAUCUAAGUACCCCGAGGAAAAGAAAUCAACCGAGAUUCCCCCAGUAGCGGCGAGCGAACGGGGAGGAGCCCAGAGCCUGAAUCAGCAUGUGUGUUAGUGGAAGCGUCUGGAAAGGCGCGCGAUACAGGGUGACAGCCCCGUACACAAAAGCGCAUGUGCUGUGAGCUCGAUGAGUAGGGCGGGACACGUGGUAUCCUGUCUGAAUAUGGGGGGACCAUCCUCCAAGGCUAAAUACUCCUGACUGACCGAUAGUGAACCAGUACCGUGAGGGAAAGGCGAAAAGAACCCCGGCGAGGGGAGUGAAAAAGAACCUGAAACCGUGU
RNAcentral lists this ribosomal RNA (495 nucleotides) under Salmonella enterica subsp. enterica serovar Newport. RNAcentral's name for it is "partial 23S ribosomal RNA". It matches the Rfam family "Bacterial large subunit ribosomal RNA", at positions 27 to 561 of the family's 2925-position model. The record is from RNAcentral. Lineage: Bacteria; Pseudomonadati; Pseudomonadota; Gammaproteobacteria; Enterobacterales; Enterobacteriaceae.